ACUUGCCUGGCAUGUGGGUCCCUGGGUCCAAUCCCCAACACUGCAAAUAAUGAUGAUAAUGUGGCCCAAACUGCCCAUCGUCCCCGCUCUACCCUGACUUCUCCCUCUUGUGUUUCAUUCCAUCUUGCAGUGGACUGCAGCAAUAAGCUAUCCAAGACACCUGGAGUCCUUUCAUGCCCUGCACCCAUGCAGACCACCUUUACCUAAGCAUCAGUCCAGUCCGGGACUGUGGUUACAGGUCAAGAAAGUGACAUUUGCACUGAGACCAGAAUGAAAUGAGGCACUAUCCCAGUGACCACAUGGGGGGAGAGCAUUCUGCACAAGUCCAGAGCACAGGUGUUAACUUGAGGCACUGCAGCAGAGGAGGCCCAGGAGCCAUGGCGGAGUGGGGAGAAGAGUAAGUUGGGGUGUGGGAGACAGAUGGCAGAGUCCACUGCCCAGACUUGGCUUUUCUCCCAGUGAGAUGGGAGUAUUGGAGGAUUCUAAGUGACCUAGGCCCCUGGCUGCAUUUGGAGCAGGGACCAGGAGUAGCUGCUGCAAGAAUCAGCAGAUGAUGGUGGCUGGAUCCAUGUGGUGGUGGUGGUGAAAUCUGGGUUAGGUAUUGAAGGCAAUGUGAAAGCAAGAGGGGAGCAUGGGUCAGUGGAGGUAUCCCCACUGAGCUGGGGGAAGACUGCAGGAGGAGAGCUGGGGGAGACAUGUUUAUGACCCGUGCUUUGUCUAGGCCUGAGAUUCCAAGUUCUAGCGUCAUGCAUAGGUACAGAAAGUGCCAGUCCUCAGGCAACUUCAGGAAAUGAAGUAGGAUGUACCUCAAAUGCUGUUAAGUAACAGAGAGUACCUGAUGAUGGCAGUUAAUCUGAUGUCCACAAUGCAUGGGGGCUGGGGUUGUGGCAGAGCACUUGACUGGCAUGUGUGAGGCAUUUGUUCAGUCUUCACCGCAUAAAAAUAAAUAGAUGUGUCCAUCUAUAACUAAAAGAUCUCUUUUUAAAAUGCCUGUGGAUUGAACUUCGUUGAAAUGUCUUAGUAAAUUUGUACAUUUAUUUUAAAUAAAUACAUUAAACAUA
Molecule: non-coding RNA, 1061 nt
Organism: Marmota flaviventris (yellow-bellied marmot)
Lineage: Eukaryota; Metazoa; Chordata; Mammalia; Rodentia; Sciuridae
Source: RefSeq, a predicted model, not a curated record